GAAGGAUCAUUACCGAGUGCGGGAACCCAGUCGGGUCCCAAUCUCCCACCCGUGUCUACCACACCUAGCGUUGCUUUGGCGGGCCCACUCCUCCGGUGUUCCGCCGGGGGGGUCGUCCCGGGGCGCGGUGUGCCCCCGGGGCCCGUGCCCGCCAGAGGCACUCACUGUGAACGCUUUUGUGAAUGCGAGGAUUGUCUGAGUGACGAAAUGCAAUCGUUCAAAACUUUCAACAAUGGAUCUCUUGGUUCCGGCAUCGAUGAAGAACGCAGCGAAAUGCGAUAAGUAAUGUGAAUUGCAGAAUUCCGUGAAUCAUCGAAUCUUUGAACGCACAUUGCGCCCUCUGGUAUUCCGGGGGGCAUGCCUGUCCGAGCGUCAUUGCGAACCCUCAAGCACGGCUUGUGUGUUGGGCCGCCGUCCCCUCGUUUGGAGGGGACGGGCCUGAAAGGCAGCGGCGGCGUCGCGUCCGGUCCUCGAGCGUAUGGGGCUCUGUCACGCGCUCAAGGAGGGGUCCGGCCGGGGCCAUAGCCUCUGAAGGUCAAUUCUUCCAAGGUUGACCUCGGAUCAGGUAGGAGUACCCGCUGAACUUA
RNAcentral lists this ribosomal RNA (587 nucleotides) under Thermomyces lanuginosus. RNAcentral's name for it is "eukaryotic LSU rRNA". The stretch from base 222 to 375 matches the Rfam family "5.8S ribosomal RNA". The record is from RNAcentral. Lineage: Eukaryota; Fungi; Ascomycota; Eurotiomycetes; Eurotiales; Trichocomaceae.